GAUGAACGCUGGCGGCGUGCCUAAUACAUGCAAGUCGAGCGAACAGAUAAGGAGCUUGCUCCUUUGACGUUAGCGGCGGACGGGUGAGUAACACGUGGGUAACCUACCUAUAAGACUGGAAUAACUCCGGGAAACCGGGGCUAAUGCCGGAUAACAUUUAGAACCGCAUGGUUCUAAAGUGAAAGAUGGUUUUGCUAUCACUUAUAGAUGGACCCGCGCCGUAUUAGCUAGUUGGUAAGGUAACGGCUUACCAAGGCAACGAUACGUAGCCGACCUGAGAGGGUGAUCGGCCACACUGGAACUGAGACACGAUCCAGACUCCUACGGGAGGCAGCAGUAGGGAAUCUUCCGCAAUGGGCGAAAGCCUGACGGAGCAACGCCGCGUGAGUGAUGAAGGUCUUCGGAUCGUAAAACUCUGUUAUUAGGGAAGAACAAAUGCGUAAGUAACUGUGCACGUCUUGACGGUACCUAAUCAGAAAGCCACGGCUAACUACGUG
RNAcentral lists this ribosomal RNA (497 nucleotides) under uncultured bacterium. Its description in RNAcentral is "partial 16S ribosomal RNA". It matches the Rfam family "Bacterial small subunit ribosomal RNA", at positions 28 to 507 of the family's 1533-position model. The record is from RNAcentral.